This 63-nucleotide transfer RNA is filed under the name Arcoscalpellum epeeum. RNAcentral's name for it is "tRNA-Met". Lineage: Eukaryota; Metazoa; Arthropoda; Thecostraca; Scalpellidae. The record is from RNAcentral.
UAAAAGAUAAGCUAAAUAAGCUUUUGGGCUCAUACCCCAAAGAUAGUAGAUUACUUCUUUUAA